CCAGACUCCUACGGGAGGCAGCAGUGAGGAAUAUUGGUCAAUGGAUGAGAGUCUGAACCAGCCAAGUAGCGUGAAGGAUGACUGCCCUAUGGGUUGUAAACCUCUUUUGUCAGGGAGCAACGCCGGCUACGUGUAGCCGGACUGAGAGUACCUGAAGAAAAAGCAUCGGCUAACUCCGUGCCAGCAGCCGCGGUAAUACGGAGGAUGCGAGCGUUAUCCGGAUUUAUUGGGUUUAAAGGGUGCGUAGGCGGAAUGCCAAGUCAGCGGUAAAAUCGCGGGGCUCAACCUCGCUCCGCCGUUGAAACUGGCGUUCUUGAGUGGGCGAGAAGUAUGCGGAAUGCGCGGUGUAGCGGUGAAAUGCAUAGAUAUCACGCAGAACUCCGAUUGCGAAGGCAGCAUACCGGCGCCCGACUGACGCUGAGGCACGAAAGCGUGGGGAUCGAACAGGAUUAGAUACCCCCGUACC
This 466-nucleotide ribosomal RNA is filed under the name uncultured bacterium. Its description in RNAcentral is "bacterial SSU rRNA". It matches the Rfam family "Bacterial small subunit ribosomal RNA", at positions 331 to 796 of the family's 1533-position model. The record is from RNAcentral.